RNAcentral lists this ribosomal RNA (482 nucleotides) under uncultured bacterium. RNAcentral's name for it is "partial 16S ribosomal RNA". It matches the Rfam family "Bacterial small subunit ribosomal RNA", at positions 29 to 507 of the family's 1533-position model. The record is from RNAcentral.
AUUGAACGCUGGCGGCAUGCCUUACACAUGCAAGUCGAACGGUAACGGGCCUUCGGGUGCCGACGAGUGGCGAACGGGGGAGUAAUACAUCGGAACGUGCCCGAUCGUGGGGGAUAACGAGGCGAAAGCUUUGCUAAUACCGCAUACGAUCUACGGAUGAAAGCAGGGGACCGCAAGGCCUUGCGCGGACGGAGCGGCCGAUGUCAGAUUAGGUCGGUGGUGGGAUUAAAGCGUACCAAGGCGACGAUCCGUAGCUGGCCUGAGAGGAUGAGCAGCCACACUGGGACUGAGACACGGCCCAGACUCCUACGGGAGGCAGCAGUGGGGAAUUUUGGACAAUGGGCGCAAGCCUGAUCCAGCCAUGCCGCGUGGAGGAUGAAGGCCUUCGGGUUGUAAACCGCUUUUGUACGGAAAGAAAAGCCUUCUUUUAAUACAGGAGGGUCAUGACGGUACCGUAAGAAUAAGCACCGGCUAACUACGUG